CUCAUCAACCUCCUCUUCAUUCAUUGAAGGGCAGGAUCUCAUAGAGAUUUAUUAAAUAAAGGGCCAGAGCGGCUUGGCUCGGUGAAAUUGCAUUUGGGCUCCCGUGUCGAGUCCUAAUGCUCAAUCCGUGAAACAAGGUCUCCUCUUAAAGGUGCCUGAUGAGAACACGUGGUUCCGUGUGUGUGUGUCUUCUGGCAGGUCCUGUGCAGAACCUCCAGCAUGCUGUAACAGACGAGGGACAAGAGGAAAGGCAAGAUGUACAGAAUCAUGUGCCGGUGGUUUAACAAGCCCAACACACACACAAAAACCCUUUCUGACAAAAGCCGGUGUUACUAGCAGACAGUACCACAUGAAGACCGAGAAGAAGGUGAAACGGAUUUGAAAUGGAUAUGGCGAGGCAUGAUCUUCAGUCGGAGAUCCACUCAGUGAAUGAUCACAUUAUGGGCCCUGCAAUGGCGUGGGGUUCAGGAAAGCUAUGCGGCAGUCGGGGGCAAAGAAAUGAACAAGUGUUUCAUCUGUCACUUUCUCAAUAAAGCGCUCAAUAAAAGUGGGAAAUUGAUGAUGUUACCGGCUGUAUUACAUCUGAGGGCUUCACAAUGAGAAAGAAAGAGAGAGAGAGAGAGUGAAAGAGAGAGCGAAAGAGAGAGAGAGAGAGAGAGGACAAAUGAAGGGAGCAGUUUCCAUCAUUUGUUUUUCUUUUUUUCUUCUUGUGGCAUUAGCAAGGGGUCAAAGUGAGGUUAAUAUCCAGACAUAAAUCAUACUCGUAA
Long non-coding RNA from Clupea harengus (Atlantic herring), 767 nucleotides. The record is from Ensembl. Lineage: Eukaryota; Metazoa; Chordata; Actinopteri; Clupeiformes; Clupeidae.